UACGGAGGGUGCAAGCGUUACUCGGAAUCACUGGGCGUAAAGCGCAUGCAGGCGGUCUAAUAAGUUGGAAGUGAAAUCCUAUGGCUUAACCAUAGAACUGCUUCCAAAACUGUUAGACUAGAGUCUGGGAGGGGAAGAUGGAAUUAGUUGUGUAGGGGUAAAAUCCGUAGAGAUAACUAGGAAUACCAAAAGCGAAGGCGAUCUUCUGGAACAGUACUGACGCUGAGAUGCGAAAGCGUGGGGAGCAAACAGGAUUAGAUACCCUGGUAGUCCACGCAGUAAACGAUGAAUGUUAGUCGUUGGGGCUCUAGUAGUUUCAGUGAUGCAGUUAACACAUUAAACAUUUCGCCUGGGGAGUACGGUCGCAAGAUUAAAACUCAAAGGAAUAGACGGGGACCCGCACAAGUGGUGGAGCAUGUGGUUUAAUUCGAAGAUACGCGAAGAACCUUACCUAGCCUUGACAUAUUUUAGAAUCCACCAGAGAUGGAGGAGUGCCUUCGGGAGCUAAUUUACAGGUGCUGCACGGCUGUCGUCAGCUCGUGUCGUGAGAUGUUGGGUUAAGUCCCGCAACGAGCGCAACCCUCGUCACUAGUUACUAACGGUUCGGCCGAGGACUCUAGUGAGACUGCCUUCGUAAGGAGGAGGAAGGUGAGGACGACGUCAAGUCAUCAUGGCCCUUACGGCUAGGGCAACACACGUGCUACAAUGGUUAGGACAAUGAGAAGCAAUAUCGCGAGGUGGAGCAAAUCUAUAAACCUAAUCUCAGUUCGGAUUGUAGUCUGCAACUCGACUACAUGAAGCUGGAAUCACUAGUAAUCGUAGAUCAGCUAUGCUACGGUGAAUACGUUCCCGGGUC
Molecule: ribosomal RNA, 856 nt
Filed under: uncultured bacterium
Lineage: Bacteria
Description: bacterial SSU rRNA
Rfam family: Bacterial small subunit ribosomal RNA
Source: RNAcentral